Molecule: non-coding RNA, 31 nt
Filed under: Mus musculus (house mouse)
Lineage: Eukaryota; Metazoa; Chordata; Mammalia; Rodentia; Muridae
Source: RNAcentral
UCAAAACAAACAACAACAAAAAUAUAAGUAC